GGGUUGUGAGGUUAAGCGACUAAGCGUACACGGUGGAUGCCCUGGCAGUCAGAGGCGAUGAAGGACGUGCUAAUCUGCGAUAAGCGCCGGUAAGGUGAUAUGAACCGUUAUAACCGGCGAUUUCCGAAUGGGGAAACCCAGUGUGACUCGUCACACUAUCAUUAACUGAAUCCAUAGGUUAAUGAGGCGAACCGGGGGAACUGAAACAUCUAAGUACCCCGAGGAAAAGAAAUCAACCGAGAUUCCCCCAGUAGCGGCGAGCGAACGGGGAGGAGCCCAGAGCCUGAAUCAGCAUGUGUGUUAGUGGAAGCGUCUGGAAAGGCGCGCGAUACAGGGUGACAGCCCCGUACACAAAAGUGCAUGUGCUGUGAGCUCGAUGAGUAGGGCGGGACACGUGGUAUCCUGUCUGAAUAUGGGGGGACCAUCCUCCAAGGCUAAAUACUCCUGACUGACCGAUAGUGAACCAGUACCGUGAGGGAAAGGCGAAAAGAACCCCGGCGAGGGGAGUGAAAAAGAACCUGAAACCGUGUACGUACAAGCAGUGGGAGCACCCUUUGGGGUGUGACUGCGUACCUUUUGUAUAAUGGGUCAGCGACUUAUAUUCUGUAGCAAGGUUAACCG
This 621-nucleotide ribosomal RNA is filed under the name Salmonella enterica subsp. enterica serovar Oranienburg. RNAcentral's name for it is "partial 23S ribosomal RNA". It matches the Rfam family "Bacterial large subunit ribosomal RNA", at positions 1 to 652 of the family's 2925-position model. Lineage: Bacteria; Pseudomonadati; Pseudomonadota; Gammaproteobacteria; Enterobacterales; Enterobacteriaceae. The record is from RNAcentral.